UACGUAGGUGGCAAGCGUUGUCCGGAUUUAUUGGGCUUAAAGGGUGCGUAGGCGGCCUUUUAAGUCAGUGGUGAAAUAUUUCAGCUCAACUGGAAUUGUGCCAUUGAUACUGAUGGGCUUGAGUACAGAUGAGGUAGGCGGAAUUGACGGUGUAGCGGUGAAAUGCUUAGAUAUCGUCAAGAACACCUAUAGCGAAGGCAGCUUACUAGGCUGUAACUGACGCUGAGGCACGAAAGUGUGGGGAUCAAACAGG
This 253-nucleotide ribosomal RNA is filed under the name uncultured bacterium. Its description in RNAcentral is "partial 16S ribosomal RNA". It matches the Rfam family "Bacterial small subunit ribosomal RNA", at positions 524 to 776 of the family's 1533-position model. The record is from RNAcentral.